GAUAAACGCUGGCGGCGCACAUAAGACAUGCAAGUUGAACGGACUUAAUCGAAAUAUUUAUAUUUUGAAGCGGUUAGUGGCGGACUGGUGAGUAACGCGUAAGGAACCUGCCUAUUAGAGGGGAAUAACAGUGAGAAAUCAUUGCUAAUACCGCAUAUGCCAUAGAUAUCACAUGAUAACAGUGGGAAAGGAGCAAUCCGCUAAUAGAUGGCCUUGCGUCUGAUUAGAUAGUUGGUGGGGUAACGGCCUACCAAGUCGACGAUCAGUAGCCGGACUGAGAGGUUGAACGGCCACAUUGGGACUGAGAUACGGCCCAGACUCCUACGGGAGGCAGCAGUCGGGAAUAUUGCGCAAUGGAGGAAACUCGGACGCAGUGACGCCGCGUAUAGGAAGAAGGUUUUCGGAUUGUAAACUAUUGUCGUUAGGGAAGAGAAAGGACAGUACCUAAGGAGGAAGCUCCGGCUAACUACGUG
RNAcentral lists this ribosomal RNA (473 nucleotides) under uncultured bacterium. RNAcentral describes it as "partial 16S ribosomal RNA". It matches the Rfam family "Bacterial small subunit ribosomal RNA", at positions 28 to 507 of the family's 1533-position model. The record is from RNAcentral.